Molecule: ribosomal RNA, 119 nt
Filed under: Pteropus alecto (black flying fox)
Lineage: Eukaryota; Metazoa; Chordata; Mammalia; Chiroptera; Pteropodidae
Source: RNAcentral
GUCUAUGGCCAUGCUACCCUGAACAAGCCUGAUCCCAUCUGAUCCCGGAAGCUAAGCAGGGUCGGGCCUGGUUAGUACUUGGAUGGGAGACCAUUUAGGAAGACCAGGUGCUGUAGGCA